RNAcentral lists this small RNA (114 nucleotides) under Sinorhizobium meliloti 2011. RNAcentral's name for it is "putative ncRNA". Lineage: Bacteria; Pseudomonadati; Pseudomonadota; Alphaproteobacteria; Hyphomicrobiales; Rhizobiaceae. The record is from RNAcentral.
UUUUCGAUAUGACCGCUCUCGUGCUUCGGGCUGGUCCAUAGAACGCCUCAAUACUGGACCGAUGCAUUCGCGACGCUUGGAACCAAGGCUGCAGCAAGAGAACUCCAAGCCUAC